This 499-nucleotide ribosomal RNA is filed under the name uncultured bacterium. RNAcentral's name for it is "partial 16S ribosomal RNA". It matches the Rfam family "Bacterial small subunit ribosomal RNA", at positions 28 to 507 of the family's 1533-position model. The record is from RNAcentral.
GACGAACGCUGGCGGCGUGCUUAACACAUGCAAGUCGAACGGGCCCGCCCCUGUUUUUGGGGGUGGGUUGAGUGGCGAACGGGUGAGUAUCACGUGAGUAACCUGCCCCCUGCUCCUGGAUAACUGCUUGAAAGGGCGGCUAAUACGGGGUGUGCCGGCUGGUCCGCAUGGGCCUGGUCGGGAUAGUUUCAUCUUCGGGUGUUUCGGUGGGGGAUGGGCUCGCGGCCUAUCAGCUUGUUGGUGGGGUGAUGGCCCACCAAGGCGGUGACGGGUAGCCGGCCUGAGAGGGUGGGCGGCCAAACUGGGACGGAGACACGGCCCAGACUCCGGCGGGAGGCAGCAGUGGGGGGUAUUGCACAAUGGGCGGAAGCCUGAUGCAGCGACGUCGCGUGAGGGAUGGAGGCCUUCGGGUUGUGAACCUCUUUCUCCGGUGGUGAAGGCCCUGUCCGUUGCGGCGGGGUUGACGGUAGCCGGGUAUGAAGCGCCGGCUAACUACGUG